This is a long non-coding RNA of Cicer arietinum (chickpea), 813 nucleotides long. RefSeq lists it as uncharacterized. The record is from RefSeq and is a predicted model, not a curated record. NCBI's taxonomy places the organism in Eukaryota, Viridiplantae, Streptophyta, Magnoliopsida, Fabales, Fabaceae.
UUUAAACAUUGAUCCAAAAAUAAUCGAUAUGAAAUAUAGAAAAAUUAUUGGAGCGUGGGGAUUUGGGGUAGGGGUACCUAGUAGAUUCUUGUAUAAAUUGUGUGAUGAAAUGGGCAAUAAAUUGGGCCUAGCGGUGUUGAAAGUCCAACUAGCUAUUCGGUACUGGAUACGAAUGAGUGAGUCUGUCCAUUGACGAUAGGAUCUUACAUUCAUCGGUUUGCGUAAUAAGAGAGGGAAAAUGGAGAAGAGGAUCACCUUACUUCAAACCGUUGCCACCGCCGGUGUCUUCUCCGCCGUUUCCUUCUGGUAUGGAUUCAUGUUUGGCAGAGAAUCCUCUCGCAAAGAGCUCUCUCACUUAAUUGAAGAUCUCCGUCGUGGAAAUCCAACUCCUCCUCCUCAUUCUUGAAGGUCUUUCUUCUUAAUUGUACUCGUUAUGAUUUUUCAACGCUUACCUAUAUGUUAUUUCUUUUGUCGAUAAGAAUCACCUGCAACUCUCGCACACAAUGUCUACAUUUGUCAGUUUAGUCGUGCCUUACAGAUUAUCUAUCUUAAUUUAUACAGUGUGUUCAACUUUCACUAUGUCCUCUUUUCCUAACAUUGUUGUAGUUAGUGUUGAUUAUAGUGUUGAUUAUAGACACUGUAACACAUACACCUUUGAUUGUUGAUGCUACAUAGUUCAUAAACAUCUCUAGUUUUGUUAUAACCUUUUGUAAUGAUUUUGUUUAACAUUUUCUGUUUGAGAGAUAAAGAGAGUGAGUGAGCAUCUUUCUGUGCAAACCUAUUGGCUUAGCUAUAAUUUGACAAGUUUGUUCA